Molecule: unclassified non-coding RNA, 705 nt
Filed under: Hevea brasiliensis (rubber tree)
Lineage: Eukaryota; Viridiplantae; Streptophyta; Magnoliopsida; Malpighiales; Euphorbiaceae
Source: RNAcentral
GUUUCCCCAGCCAUUCAUCAUCUGAUCAGGGUUUGCACCAUGUUCCUGCUCUCCCAUUUCAUGACCAAUUGGAACAUUGUUGCCUUGUGAUCCAAGGGCACUUCUCCUUAUUGGAGUAGGAGAUAUCAUUUCAGCAUGAGAAUGUGAUUCUGCACGAGCUUGCUCUGCCUGAACCAUGGCUGCCAUUCUCAACUGAGCCUCCCUACCAGCUUUCUCCCUGGCAUCCAUUUCUGUUUUCAGCUCAAACAAAAGCCGCUUCUCCUCCUGGAGAAGAAUCUGCUCAAUCAUCAAUCUCUCCUCAGACCGGAAUUCCCCUAAAGCUCGCUUGCGGGUUAUUAUGUUGAAAGCUAGGGCUUGUUUCUCAAAUGUGCCUGUGAAUUCCGCAACUUUGGCUGCAAUAUUGAAAUCCCAUUGCUGAGAACGAGAUGGCAUCUGACCUGUUGUGUCAGAAUCAAGGAUUCUAUCAUCCUCCUCUGCUUCAUAGUCCGCUACUACAUGAUAAGGAAGUAAUCUUUCACAGGCAUCCUCAAGAGAAGAAAAUGGCCUCUUGACAUCCGGGUGGCAGACCCGCCAAGCGUCCUGGUAAGCCAUCUGGAGCUCCACCUGGUUGAGUGGGGGCCGGAUCCCCUUCUGCUGCUGUUGCUGUUGCUGUUGCUGCUGCUGUUGUACAAUCGAUGGCUGUUGCUGUUGAGAGGGGAGAGGGGG